RNAcentral lists this long non-coding RNA (375 nucleotides) under Elaeis guineensis (African oil palm). RNAcentral describes it as "long non-coding RNA (EGUI_LNC058712)". Lineage: Eukaryota; Viridiplantae; Streptophyta; Magnoliopsida; Arecales; Arecaceae. The record is from RNAcentral.
AGAACAUCACGGUGACUUGCAAGCAAUUUACUAUACUUUAGUAUUGGACUAACUGAGUUUCUAAUUUUAUGGUAAAAGAUUGUUAGAUAUAAUCAAGUAUUUGUCAAAUCGGUGUGUGAGUCAAGAUGGGAUUGACCGCUCUGAAUUAGUAAGAGUUAAUGUAUCAAUGUAUUUUAAUUUAGCAAAACCUGAGCUCAGAUAAUCCAUGAGAUAGAUUUGAAAAAGAUUGAAAUACAAUGUGGAUGACUUAUCUAAGAUUGACAGUUAAAUCAUUGGUCAUCCUUGAACAUUAGGAUCAAAGAGAUGAAUUAUAUGAUAACCAUACGUCAAUAGAUUUUUGAAUGUUGCUUCACCUUCAUUCGACCUAUCCGGACA